Otolemur garnettii (small-eared galago) is the source of this 132-nucleotide small nucleolar RNA. Its record names the gene SNORA72. It matches the Rfam family "Small nucleolar RNA SNORA72". Rfam says of the family: U72 is a member of the H/ACA class of snoRNAs. The snoRNA gene is located in intron 4 of the ribosomal L30 protein gene in human, mouse and chicken. Lineage: Eukaryota; Metazoa; Chordata; Mammalia; Primates; Galagidae. The record is from Ensembl.
CUGCAAAUAUUCUCACUGUUCUGAUGUUGUAAGUAUCAAGACAGGCUAAAUAUUCACUAUAUAGAAACCAUGCAUGUGUCCCCAGACCUAGUUCUCUCCUUAGGUUUGAUUUAAUAAAUGCUGGUGAUAAAA